UCAAAUUGCAACUCUCUGGAGUUUGGAAGGCUCCCUCUCCACCCACUUUCCACCUGGCAAGAUUUGCAUAAAUACUCAAACUGCAUGGCUCAAAUGUUUUAGCCUACGGUAGAACAAUUUCAGACAAAUUGAUCAUGUUCAACAGCAAUGAGAGGAUCUCUCAGAUCUCUGAAAUACAUCUCAUGUGUGUUUGUCUCAUCUAUCCAUUCAUGUUUGGGUCACACUAAGAAAAGUUAUCUGUUUUGGACUCAGGGGUUGAACUGAGCUGAUUGUGCGUCUCACCUGUCUGUUUGAA
RNAcentral lists this long non-coding RNA (295 nucleotides) under Chloebia gouldiae (Gouldian finch). RNAcentral's name for it is "Erythrura gouldiae (Gouldian finch) lncRNA (ENSEGOG00005007945.1)". Lineage: Eukaryota; Metazoa; Chordata; Aves; Passeriformes; Passeridae. The record is from RNAcentral.